RNAcentral lists this ribosomal RNA (388 nucleotides) under uncultured bacterium. RNAcentral's name for it is "bacterial SSU rRNA". It matches the Rfam family "Bacterial small subunit ribosomal RNA", at positions 28 to 417 of the family's 1533-position model. The record is from RNAcentral.
GACGAACGCUGGCGGCGUGCUUAACACAUGCAAGUCGAGCGGUAAGGCCCUUUCGGGGGUACACGGGCGGCGAACGGGUGAGUAACACGUGGGUGACCUGCCCUCAGCUCUGGGAUAAGCCUGGGAAACCGGGGUCUAAUACCGGAUAUGACUCCAUGACGCAUGUUGUGGGGUGGAAAGCCUUGUGCGGCUGAGGAUGGGCCCGCGGCCUAUCAGCUUGUUGGUGGGGUGAUGGCCACCAAGGCGACGACGGGUAGCCGGCCUGAGAGGGCGACCGGCCACACUGGGACUGAGACACGGCCCAGACUCCUACGGGAGGCAGCAGUGGGGAAUCUUGCGCAAUGGGCGAAAGCCUGACGCAGCGACGCCGCGUGAGGGAUGACGGCCU